Molecule: long non-coding RNA, 453 nt
Organism: Dromiciops gliroides (monito del monte)
Lineage: Eukaryota; Metazoa; Chordata; Mammalia; Microbiotheria; Microbiotheriidae
Exons: 3
Source: RefSeq, a predicted model, not a curated record
AGUACCAUCCUCUGUGACUGGCUGCCUCCCACAGCUUCAGCUAUUAUCCUUAUCUACACCACUCCUACAUCUACAUCUCCAGCCUCAAACUCUGUUUUGUGUUCUAGACCAAAAUCUCCAGCUACUUACAAGAGCAAAGACUGGAGCCUGGAGUUUCUGAAAUCGGGGAGCCAAACAGGAAGAGGAUGUCAUAAGAGGCUGUCUAUUUAGGGCAGAUGCACGGAGUCCAAUUCCAUGUGAAGGAAGCAAUCAGCACUUUGUACUGAAGCCAGUCCUGAGUAGAUGACUGAAAAUUGAUCAUGAUGUGGAAAUGUCGAGGCUUGGAGUUGACCUUAUGAAUUUGAGAGGUCUUCAGGUCCUGGUUCCACUGGUCUGAGCUGAAUGAUACCAAGGGAUAGUCUGCAUCAGAGAAGAUGACCACUGAUAGGGAAGCCCCAGCCCUAUCCUUGAAUG